AGGAGAUGGGAAGUAAAGUGUUUAUCCUCAUCUUGUUUGGAUUAUUCUCAUAAAAGAAGAGAUAGGGAAGAAAGGUAAUUUACCCUCACCUUUUUUGAUUAAGAAAUGAAGAAAAAGAAUGUAAAAUGCAGAAUUAUAAAAUGACAACAAUACCCCCCUCAAAGGAAAAGUUAAGAAAAAAGAGUUCAUAAGAAAAAGGGAAUCUUG
Molecule: unclassified non-coding RNA, 207 nt
Filed under: Hevea brasiliensis (rubber tree)
Lineage: Eukaryota; Viridiplantae; Streptophyta; Magnoliopsida; Malpighiales; Euphorbiaceae
Source: RNAcentral